AAUUACAUGACUACAAUAACCGUGGAUAACUACAGGUAUAUGCAGGUCAGGAUGCUGCAAUGCUCAACCAAUAUAGACCGCCGUAUACACGUUUUGGUCAACCUCCCCAGUCCGAAUUAACACAAAGGUACAGUUACGCCCAAGACACCGCUUGAAACAAGAGUUUCGUCAAAAUUGCUUUUUAAUUGUCUUAUUCUAAAGGCAUGUAGCUGUGCUUGCAGCUCUCAAGCAAUCGCGCAAUAAGACAUUUUACGGUACGGCAUUCCCCCCGCACACGAGACACGGGCCCGCAUCAUUAAACUAUCUUGCCACGAGAACUGCUGCACCGAUAAUUGCGAUGAGAGCGAUUGGCGAGGUUACCAGUCCCACGAAAAGGGUUCCCCGACGCAGCUGCUUCGCCAGGUGUCCGACCUGCCGACAGGGCAAAGGGAGGUUCGGUCGCGGUAAUGAUAGGAUGACGAAAGGCGGAUGAGAGUUGCUAAACAGUAGGAAGCAUGAAGAGUAGCGGGUUCUGACCUACACACCUCCGGGCAUCGCUGCUUGGCAGCCCGAUCCCGAUCUGUCGCAACAGUGCAUCACCCAGGGCAUCUUAGAGCUCAUUAAGAGCUUAGCGCUCUGCAUCCGUUCAGCAAGGCAACGCAAGAUGUUACAUGUUGUACCGGCCAGCAACAUGCCGUACUGGCCAGCAACACGAGUCCCCCAACAGCGCACACCAGAUACACAG
Molecule: long non-coding RNA, 724 nt
Filed under: Volvox carteri
Lineage: Eukaryota; Viridiplantae; Chlorophyta; Chlorophyceae; Chlamydomonadales; Volvocaceae
Description: long non-coding RNA (VCAR_LNC000024)
Source: RNAcentral